This 776-nucleotide ribosomal RNA is filed under the name uncultured Neocallimastigales. RNAcentral describes it as "partial large subunit ribosomal RNA". It matches the Rfam family "Eukaryotic large subunit ribosomal RNA", at positions 24 to 611 of the family's 3401-position model. Lineage: Eukaryota; Fungi; Neocallimastigomycota; Neocallimastigomycetes; Neocallimastigales. The record is from RNAcentral.
UAUCUCUGUAGAGUCUGCAUAUCAAUAAGCGGAGGAAAAGAAACUAACAAGGAUUCCCUUAGUAACGGCGAGUGAAGCGGGAAGAGCUCAAAUUUGAAAUCUUCAAGGUUUUACCUUGACGAAUUGUAGUUUAAAGAAGUGUUUUCUGUUGAAGUUUCGGUAAAAGUUCUUUGGAAUAGGACAUCAUAGAGGGUGAGAAUCCCGUAUUUGACCAGUUAUUUCCAGCUGUGUGAUACACUUUCAAAGAGUCGGAUUGUUUGGGAAUGCAGUCCAAAAUGGGUGGUAAAUUUCAUCUAAAGCUAAAUAUUGGCGAGAGACCGAUAGCGAACAAGUACCGUGAGGGAAAGAUGAAAAGAACUUUGAAAAGAGAGUUAAACAGUACGUGAAAUUGUCAAAAGGGAAGCGUUUGACACCAGUGUUGUUUUCUCGAAAAUCAAUUAAAAAUGACUGGAUUUUGUGUUGUAUUGACCUUAUAAGCUUUCUGCACUUUUUUCAUGUCUUUUUUAAUGCACUUUUCGUUUAACAAGUCAACAUCAGUUUCUUUUGUUGUAAAAAGGUCAUUGGAAGGUGGCUUUCUUUUCGGAGAAAGUGUUUAUAACCUUUGACUCCUGCAAUCGGAGAGACUGAGGUCUGCAGCGUAGAUCCUUCUUGGAUUAGAUUCAUUUGUGCUAAGUUAUAGCUUUUUAUAGACAACUUGUUGACUAUAUUUAGUCUUGUAGCUUACUCGCUUAUGCAAUUUUACCUACGCUUAGGAUGUUGAACGCGCACAGAGUCUC